UACAGAGGGUGCAAGCGUUAAUCGGAAUUACUGGGCGUAAAGCGCGCGUAGGUGGUUUGUUAAGUUGGAUGUGAAAGCCCCGGGCUCAACCUGGGAACUGCAUUCAAAACUGACAAGCUAGAGUAUGGUAGAGGGUGGUGGAAUUUCCUGUGUAGCGGUGAAAUGCGUAGAUAUAGGAAGGAACACCAGUGACGAAAACGACCACCUGAACUAAUACUGACACUGAGGUACGAAAGCGUAGAAAACAAAC
Molecule: ribosomal RNA, 250 nt
Filed under: uncultured bacterium
Lineage: Bacteria
Description: partial 16S ribosomal RNA
Rfam family: Bacterial small subunit ribosomal RNA
Source: RNAcentral